AUACCGCGAAACUGCGAAUGGCUCAUUAAAUCAGUUAUCGUCUAUUUGAUAGUACCUUACUACUUGGAUAACCGUGGUAAUUCUAGAGCUAAUACAUGCUGAAAACCCCGACUUCGGAAGGGAUGUAUUUAUUAGAUUAAAAGCCAAUGCCCUUCGGGGCUCCCUGGUGAUUCAUAAUAACUGCUCGAAUCGCACGGCCUUGCGCCGGCGAUGGUUCAUUCAAAUUUCUGCCCUAUCAACUUUCGACGGCUGGGUCUUGGCCAGCCGUGGUGACAACGGGUAACGGAGGGUUAGGGCUCGACCCCGGAGAAGGAGCCUGAGAAACGGCUACUACAUCCAAGGAAGGCAGCAGGCGCGCAAAUUACCCAAUCCCGACUCGGGGAGGUAGUGACAAUAAAUACUGAUACAGGGCUCUUUUGGGUCUUGUAAUUGGAAUGAGUACAAUUUAAUUCCCUUAACGAGGAACAAUUGGAGGGCAAGUCUGGUGCCAGCAGCCGCGGUAAUUCCAGCUCCAAUAGCGUAUAUUAAAGUUGUUGCAGUUAAAAAGCUCGUAGUUGAACCUUGGGCCUGGCUGGCCGGUCCGCCUCACCGCGUGCACUGGUCCGGCCGGGCCUUUCCCUCUGGGGAGCCGCAUGCCCUUCACUGGGCGUGUCGGGGAACCAGGACUUUUACUUUGAAAAAAUUAGAGUGUUCAAAGCAGGCUUAUGCUCGAAUACAUUAGCAUGGAAUAAUAGAAUAGGACGCGUGGUUCUAUUUUGUUGGUUUCUAGGACCGCCGUAAUGAUUAAUAGGGACAGUCGGGGGCAUCAGUAUUCAACUGCGAGAGGUGAAAUUCUUGGACCAGCUGAAGACUAACUACUGCGAAAGCAUUUGCCAAGGAUGUUUUCAUUAAUCAGGAACGAAAGUUAGGGGAUCGAAGACGAUCAGAUACCGUCGUAGUCUUAACCAUAAACUAUGCCGACUAGGGAUCGGGCGGUGUUAUCUUUUGACCCGCUCGGCACCUUGCACGAAAGUACAAGUUUCUGGG
This 1026-nucleotide ribosomal RNA is filed under the name Dryadomyces montetyi. RNAcentral describes it as "SSU rRNA". It matches the Rfam family "Eukaryotic small subunit ribosomal RNA", at positions 76 to 1111 of the family's 1831-position model. The record is from RNAcentral. Lineage: Eukaryota; Fungi; Ascomycota; Sordariomycetes; Ophiostomatales; Ophiostomataceae.